Molecule: small nuclear RNA, 85 nt
Organism: Monodelphis domestica (gray short-tailed opossum)
Lineage: Eukaryota; Metazoa; Chordata; Mammalia; Didelphimorphia; Didelphidae
Gene: U4
Rfam family: U4 spliceosomal RNA
About the family: U4 small nuclear RNA (U4 snRNA) is a component of the major U2-dependent spliceosome. The structure of U4 snRNA from yeast and human has been reported.
Source: Ensembl
AGCUUUGUGCAGUGGCAGUAUCAUAGCCAAUAAGGUUUAACUGAGGCACAAUUAUUGCUAAUUGAAAACUGAGUUCAAAUCCAAC